Molecule: ribosomal RNA, 191 nt
Filed under: Salinivibrio sp. IB868
Lineage: Bacteria; Pseudomonadati; Pseudomonadota; Gammaproteobacteria; Vibrionales; Vibrionaceae
Description: partial 16S ribosomal RNA
Rfam family: Bacterial small subunit ribosomal RNA
Source: RNAcentral
UUAAUUGAAGAGUUUGAUCAUGGCUCAGAUUGAACGCUGGCGGCAGGCCUAACACAUGCAAGUCGAGCGGAAACGGCAGUAUUGAAGCUUCGGUGGAUUUACUGGACGUCGAGCGGCGGACGGGUGAGUAAAGGCUGGGAACCUGCCCUGACGAGGGGGAUAACCGUUGGAAACGACGGCUAAUACCGCAU